AGCCCGUGAGUGAGUACCACAUCAAAUUGCAAAUUUGAAGAAGUUCCUUUUGGUUCCGGGGCUU
Molecule: transfer RNA, 64 nt
Filed under: Bavayia tanleensis
Lineage: Eukaryota; Metazoa; Chordata; Lepidosauria; Squamata; Diplodactylidae
Description: tRNA-Cys
Source: RNAcentral